GGAUGUGAGGGCGAUCUGGCUGCGACAUCUGUCACCCCAUUGAUCGCCAGGGUUGAUUCGGCUGAUCUGGCUGGCUAGGCGGGUGUCCCCCUCCUCCCUCACUGAUCCAUGUGCGUCCCUCCCGAAGCUGUGCGCUCGGUCGAAGAGGACGACCUUCCCCCCCGAGGAGAGGACCGGUCUUCGGUCAAGGGUAUACGAGUAGCUGCGCUCCCCUGCUAGAACCUCCAAACAAGCUCUCAAGAAAAACAAAGUAUAUAAAAAUUUGAAAGCAAGAGCAAAUCUUAUAAUAUUUCAGAUGAAUAUUUUCAUCUAAAGUCUAAGUUAUUAGAAUUUAAA
Myotis lucifugus (little brown bat) is the source of this 336-nucleotide unclassified non-coding RNA. Its record names the gene 7SK. It matches the Rfam family "7SK RNA". From Rfam's summary of the family: 7SK was discovered as an abundant small nuclear RNA in the mid-70s but a possible function has only recently been suggested. The record is from Ensembl. Lineage: Eukaryota; Metazoa; Chordata; Mammalia; Chiroptera; Vespertilionidae.